Molecule: ribosomal RNA, 483 nt
Filed under: uncultured bacterium
Lineage: Bacteria
Description: partial 16S ribosomal RNA
Rfam family: Bacterial small subunit ribosomal RNA
Source: RNAcentral
AGUGAACGCUGGCGGCAGGCCUAACACAUGCAAGUCGAGCGGCAGCGCGGGGCAACCCUGGCGGCGAGGGGCGGACGGGUGAGGAAUUCGUCGGAAUCUGCCUUUUUGUGGGGGAUAACGUAGGGAAACUUACGCUAAUACCGCAUACGUCCUACGGGAGAAAGUGGGGGACCGCAAGGCCUCACGCAGAAAGAUGAGCCGACGACCGAUUAGCUAGUUGGUGGGGUAAAGGCCCACCAAGGCGACGAUCGGUAGCUGGUCUGAGAGGAUGAUCAGCCACACUGGGACUGAGACACGGCCCAGACUCCUACGGGAGGCAGCAGUGGGGAAUAUUGGACAAUGGGCGCAAGCCUGAUCCAGCCAUGCCGCGUGUGUGAAGAAGGCCUUCGGGUUGUAAAGCACUUUUGUCCGGAAAGAAAUCCCUGGAGCUAAUACCUUCGGGGGAUGACGGUACCGGAAGAAUAAGCACCGGCUAACUUCGUG